Long non-coding RNA from Populus euphratica (Euphrates poplar), 346 nucleotides. RefSeq lists it as uncharacterized. NCBI's taxonomy places the organism in Eukaryota, Viridiplantae, Streptophyta, Magnoliopsida, Malpighiales, Salicaceae. The record is from RefSeq and is a predicted model, not a curated record. The transcript is spliced from 2 exons.
UCGAGCCCCUCACUAGCCUAGCCCAUUAUCCAUGGCUGAAGCAUUUUAUAACUGAUGAAAACAUCUUCCGCUGCUCCACGUAUCAUCAAAACAUUCUUACGGGUUCAAGAGUGAAAUAUAAACUACAGCCCGUCAUCAUAUGUAGUUUCAAAUUUCAAUGAAGUCGCACCCUCUGCAUAGCCAAGAACAUAAUCAACAGACAUUCGAGAAAUAAUGUUGCCCAUGUCAACUGCCUCGUUUAAUAUUUGCAUGAGACAGGGUUUACACAAAUAUAUAUUUGCACUUAUGUGAUAUUCAAGUAAAGUUGUAUACAUAAAUUAAAAGGAUCAAUUGUAAAGGAAAUCCA